RNAcentral lists this ribosomal RNA (253 nucleotides) under uncultured bacterium. Its description in RNAcentral is "partial 16S ribosomal RNA". It matches the Rfam family "Bacterial small subunit ribosomal RNA", at positions 524 to 776 of the family's 1533-position model. The record is from RNAcentral.
UACGGGGGGAGCAAGCGUUGUUCGGAUUUACUGGGCGUAAAGGGCGCGUAGGCGGCCAUGCGUGUCUUCCGUGAAAUCCCUCGGCUUAACUGAGGACGUGCGGAAGAAACUGCAAGGCUUGAGUCCGGGAGAGGGGGGUGGAAUUCCCAGUGUAGCGGUGAAAUGCGUAGAUAUUGGGAGGAACACCGGUGGCGAAGGCGGCCCCCUGGACCGGUACUGACGCUGAGGCGCGAAAGCGUGGGUAGCAAACGGG